UAGCGGCGGACGGGUGAGUAAUGCUUAGGAAUCUGCCUAUUAGUGGGGGACAACAUUCCGAAAGGAAUGCUAAUACCGCAUACGUCCUACGGGAGAAAGCAGGGGACCUUCGGGCCUUGCGCUAAUAGAUGAGCCUAAGUCGGAUUAGCUAGUUGGUGGGGUAAAGGCCUACCAAGGCGACGAUCUGUAGCGGGUCUGAGAGGAUGAUCCGCCACACUGGGACUGAGACACGGCCCAGACUCCUACGGGAGGCAGCAGUGGGGAAUAUUGGACAAUGGGGGGAACCCUGAUCCAGCCAUGCCGCGUGUGUGAAGAAGGCCUUUUGGUUGUAAAGCACUUUAAGCGAGGAGGAGGCUACUAGUAUUAAUACUACUGGAUAGUGGACGUUACUCGCAGAAUAAGCGCCGGCUAACUCUGUGCCAGCAGCCGCGGUAAUACAGAGGGUGCGAGCGUUAAUCGGAUUUACUGGGCGUAAAGCGUGCGUAGGCGGCUGAUUAAGUCGGAUAUGAAAUCCCUGAGCUUAACUUAGGAAUUGCAUUCGAUACUGGUCAGCUAGAGUAUGGGAGAGGAUGGUAGAAUUCCAGGUGUAGCGGUGAAAUGCGUAGAGAUCUGGAGGAGUACCGAUGGCGAAGGCAGCCAUCUGGCCUANNNCUGA
Molecule: ribosomal RNA, 655 nt
Filed under: uncultured bacterium
Lineage: Bacteria
Description: bacterial SSU rRNA
Rfam family: Bacterial small subunit ribosomal RNA
Source: RNAcentral